RNAcentral lists this microRNA precursor (84 nucleotides) under Bombyx mori (domestic silkworm). RNAcentral describes it as "mir-2807 microRNA precursor family". It matches the Rfam family "mir-2807 microRNA precursor family". Lineage: Eukaryota; Metazoa; Arthropoda; Insecta; Lepidoptera; Bombycidae. The record is from Rfam by way of RNAcentral.
UAAAAAAACAUUUCAAUGGGUUUGCAAUGUUUGCUUACGUUUACUGCUAGAGACGCUGUUCCAACUGCAUACAAAUCUGAGUUA